RNAcentral lists this ribosomal RNA (253 nucleotides) under uncultured bacterium. RNAcentral describes it as "partial 16S ribosomal RNA". It matches the Rfam family "Bacterial small subunit ribosomal RNA", at positions 524 to 776 of the family's 1533-position model. The record is from RNAcentral.
UACGUAGGGUCCGAGCGUUGUCCGGAAUUAUUGGGCGUAAAGGGCUCGUAGGCGGUUUGUCGCGUCGGGAGUGAAAACCAUGUGCUUAACUCAUGGCUUGCUUUCGAUACGGGCAGACUAGAGGUAUUCAGGGGAGAACGGAAUUCCUGGUGUAGCGGUGAAAUGCGCAGAUAUCAGGAGGAACACCAAUGGCGAAGGCAGCUCGCUGGGACGGUACUGACGCUGAGGCGCGAAAGCGUGGGGAGCAAACAGG